AAAGGAAAGAAGGUAAGUAUAAAAAACUCAUAUGAAGUUAGUGUGGACUGCUUUAUUAUCUAGUCAUGUUCUGGGCUUGUAUGUAAAGGAGCAGAAUGGGGCCCAUGGACACAUUUCCAGAUUGACUGUAAAUUUCAGAAUUAGAAUUCUCAUUCUGUGUCUCUCUCUGAUUCAUUGCUGGAUGUGUGCAGGAUGAACUGGUUGCAAGGUUG
Molecule: unclassified non-coding RNA, 212 nt
Filed under: Hevea brasiliensis (rubber tree)
Lineage: Eukaryota; Viridiplantae; Streptophyta; Magnoliopsida; Malpighiales; Euphorbiaceae
Source: RNAcentral